Molecule: ribosomal RNA, 387 nt
Filed under: Choanoflagellata sp.
Lineage: Eukaryota; Choanoflagellata
Description: partial small subunit ribosomal RNA
Rfam family: Eukaryotic small subunit ribosomal RNA
Source: RNAcentral
AUUCCAGCUCCAAUAGCGUAUAUUAAAGUUGUUGCAGUUAAAAAGCUCGUAGUUGGAUUUCUGUUUCUGGGAUCUGGUCCGCCUCACGGUGAGCACUGGAUAACUGGGGACAUCCUCUCGAAGGCGGCGGGUGCACUUGAUUGUGUGUUUGUUGAAUUCGGGACCUUUACUUUGAAAAAAUUAGAGUGUUCAAAGCAGGCGUCGGCUUGAAUACAUUAGCAUGGAAUAAUGGAAUAGGACUUUGGUUCUAUUUUGUUGGUUUCUAGGACCGAAGUAAUGAUUAAUAGGGACAGUUGGGGGCAUUAGUAUUUAAUUGUCAGAGGUGAAAUUCUUGGAUUUAUGAAAGACUAACUACUGCGAAAGCAUUUGCCAAGGAUGUUUUCAUCG